GUGCAGCUUCGUACCCCGUCUCAGCGCGUUUCUUCCCCUCCUGCUGCUCCACCUCCUACUACUGCUACUUCUUCACGUCCUUCUAUGGACAUUUCCGAGGAAGAUAUCUCAGUUUCCUCUAUGUAUCGUGAGCGACAACGUUUAUCUGAGGAGCUUCAGAAACUGUCUGCGGAGCAAGCUGCGAUACGGAAGGAUGUGAGCAAGAUGAAGCGAUUACUAAGUAUGAUUUUUGACAAGUUAGGGUGUUGCUGAGCAGAUUU
RNAcentral lists this long non-coding RNA (260 nucleotides) under Ananas comosus (pineapple). RNAcentral describes it as "long non-coding RNA (ACOM_LNC030606)". Lineage: Eukaryota; Viridiplantae; Streptophyta; Magnoliopsida; Poales; Bromeliaceae. The record is from RNAcentral.